This is a long non-coding RNA of Zingiber officinale, 1217 nucleotides long. RefSeq lists it as uncharacterized. The record is from RefSeq and is a predicted model, not a curated record. The transcript is spliced from 5 exons. NCBI's taxonomy places the organism in Eukaryota, Viridiplantae, Streptophyta, Magnoliopsida, Zingiberales, Zingiberaceae.
CUCCCUUUUCGUCAAAAUUUUUCUGCCGCGAGCCUUACUCCCUCUCCGCCAAAAUCCUUCCUCUCUGCCGAAACCUUCCGCGCUCCGCCUCCCUCUCUGCCUCCGUGCUCUUCCUCCCUCUCUACCUCAGUGCUUCGCCUUCAUCUAUGCCAUACUCCGCCUUCCUUGCUCCGCUUAUCAUUGCCCAAAGUCGCUGCAGGAUAGCUACACCCUUGCACUCCACAAGGCCCUUAUGUUCUUCAAUGCCUAGUGAUGCGAGUCCUCAUAGAUGGCCUCUUCGGAAAAAAAGGUUUUGACGGUAUAAAAAAUGUUCCUUUGCCCCUGAUUUCUUUUGUAGCAAGGUUGAUUCCGAAACACAACAAUGUAUUGUGGAGGGGGAACUCCGGCUUGAGGGAUGGCUUCUCCAAUCAUUCGUAUGGGAAGAGUCUCAUCCGUGGAUUCUACGAUGCCGGUGACGCCAUCCAAGGUCGGACCUUUUAUGAGGCAGAGGACAUGGAGGAUGUGGCUAAGGCAGCGGUGGAGUUCUCAACCAGAGGUGGUGGGCGAGCAUGCUAAGCGAAUAGAGAACCCAGGGGAAAGUGUCGGAGAUGGAGGAGAAGAAAGACAUAUUAGAGUUUAACAAGAGGCAUGCGGAGGGAAGGAACAAGAUCGAUAAACAGAAGAACUUUCAACUAAAGAUCUAGAAAUUGAAUCCUGUUAACACAAUUUGCUACGUUCAGAUCUUUGGAAUUGACAUGGACACACAAGAUACUUUGCCAUCAGUCUUGUUAUUUUUUGACAGACAAAGGUUCAUUUUCAAAGCUGCGGAGGUGAUAAUGAUAACAAUUAAAAAAGGAUAUUUCUACUUAAAAGUUGGGGGCAUCAAGCUGAUCAGACUUUAAUUGUAAAAGAACGGAAGGUCAGACUAGUCUCAAGAAUGUUAGCUUGUGAGAAUCAAGUGGUCUAUUAAUGUUGGGACUAUUUUAUGUAUUCCAAUGCAAGAGAGUUAGAAGAACCAACACAACAAUCAGAAAUCAAUGUGGACUUUGAACUACUUACACUACUUCAAAGAGGCAUAAAAGGAGAGGAAAGGUUUGCUGCUCAUAAUUUGUUUAUCUUAUCAACCUGUAACACAAUUAUUCUUAUUGGAAAGAAAAAGUAUAUGACAUGUAUUUAUUUUAUUUUUAUAUGCCCGUAACACAAUUAUUCCUUUAGUGAUAAGUGUACGAUAUUGAUAA